RNAcentral lists this ribosomal RNA (497 nucleotides) under uncultured bacterium. RNAcentral's name for it is "partial 16S ribosomal RNA". It matches the Rfam family "Bacterial small subunit ribosomal RNA", at positions 28 to 507 of the family's 1533-position model. The record is from RNAcentral.
GAUGAACGCUGGCGGCGUGCCUAAUACAUGCAAGUCGAGCGAACAGAUGAGUAGCUUGCUCCUCUGAUGUUAGCGGCGUACGGGUGAGUAACACGUGGAUAACCUACCUAUAAGACUGGGAUAACUUCGUGAAACCGGAGCUAAUACCGGAUACUAUCUUGAACCGCAUGGUUCAAUAGUGAAAGACGGUUUUGCUGUCACUUAUAGAUGUAUCCGCGCCGCAUUAGCUAGUUGGUAAGGUAACGGCUUACCAAGGCGACGAUGCGUAGCCGACCUGAGAGGGUGAACGGCCACACUGGAACUGAGACACGGUACAGACUCCUACGGGAGGCAGAAGUAGGGAAGCGUCCGAAAUGGGCGAAAGACUGACGGAGCAACGCCGCGUGAGUGAUGAAGGUCUGCGGAUCGUAAAACUCUGUUAUUAGGGAAGAACAAAUGUGUAAGUAACUAUGCACGUCUUGACGGUACCUAAUCAGAAAGCCACGGCUAACUACGUG